Molecule: ribosomal RNA, 406 nt
Filed under: uncultured bacterium
Lineage: Bacteria
Description: partial 16S ribosomal RNA
Rfam family: Bacterial small subunit ribosomal RNA
Source: RNAcentral
AUUGAACGCUGGCGGCAGGCUUAACACAUGCAAGUCGAGCGAGCGGCGGACUGGUGAGUAAUGUCUGGGAAACUGCCUGAUGGAGGGGGAUAACUCCUGGAAAUGGUAGCUAAUCCCGCAUACCCUCAUAUCUGCCCACAUGUGAUUAGCUGGUAGGUGGGGGAAUGGCUCACCUAGGCGACGAUCCCUAGCUGGUCUGAGAGGAUGACCAGCAACACGGGAACUGAGACACGGUCCAGACUCCUACGGGAGGCAGCAGUGGGGAAUAUUGCACAAUGGGCGCAAGCCUGAUGCAGCCAUGCCGCGUGUGUGAAGAAGGCCUUCGGGUUGUAAAGCACUUUCAGCGAGGAGGCGGUACUCGCAGAAGAAGCACCGGCUAACUCCGUGCCAGCCGCCGCGGUAAUAC